Molecule: non-coding RNA, 318 nt
Organism: Arachis ipaensis
Lineage: Eukaryota; Viridiplantae; Streptophyta; Magnoliopsida; Fabales; Fabaceae
Source: RefSeq, a predicted model, not a curated record
UGGAUAAAAUAAGGAACGAAGAAAUAAGGGAGAGAGUUGUAGUAGCACCCAUUGUGAAAAAGGUGGUAGAAUUGCGUCUCAGGUGGUUUGGACAUUUGAGAAGAAGACCGACAGAACACUCAAUCAGGAGAGUGGAUGAAAUGGAAGAUGGACAAGUGGUGAAAGGCAGAGGAAGACCUAUAAAGACCAUCCAUGAGGUGGUCAAACGAGAUCUACAUGUAAACGACAUGAUAUAUGAUAGAGUUAAAUGGCGUCGUUUGAUCCAUGUAGGCGACCCCAUCUAGUGAGACAAGAUUUUGUUGUUAUUGUUGUUGUUGU